AAUAAGCUAAUUAAGAGCGUAAGGUGGAUGCCUUGGCUCUCAGAGGCGAUGAAGGACGUGAUAAGCUGCGAUAAGCUACGGGGAUUGGCACACACAAUUUGAUCCGUAGAUUUCCGAAUGGGGAAACCCACUAUAUUGAAGAUAUAGUAUCCGUUAAGGAAGCAAACCCAGGGAACUGAAACAUCUAAGUACCUGGAGGAAUAGAAAACAAAAGUGAUUCCGCUAGUAGUGGCGAGCGAACGCGGAACAGCCCAAACCAAAAUUGUUUCGGC
Molecule: ribosomal RNA, 272 nt
Filed under: uncultured Flavobacteriaceae bacterium
Lineage: Bacteria; Pseudomonadati; Bacteroidota; Flavobacteriia; Flavobacteriales; Flavobacteriaceae
Description: partial 23S ribosomal RNA
Rfam family: Bacterial large subunit ribosomal RNA
Source: RNAcentral